UGGAGCCCUUGCUGAAGGUUGCUCUGGGGUCGUCUGCGUUCGCCGUCUUCUGGGUGCUUGCGGUGUUCCCGGCGGUGCCGUUCCUUCCCAUCGGCCGCACGGCUGGGUCCCUGCUGGGCGCCAUGCUGAUGGUGCUGCUGGGCGUGAUGAGCGCCGACGAGGCCUACGCGGCCGUGGACCUGCCCAUCCUGGGCCUGCUGUUCGGCACCAUGGUGGUGAGCGUGUACCUGGAGCGCGCCGACAUGUUCCGUCACCUGGGCCGCCUGCUGUCGUGGCGGAGCCAGGGCGGUCGCGACCUGCUGCUGCGCACCUGCGCCGUCU
RNAcentral lists this long non-coding RNA (321 nucleotides) under Sorghum bicolor (sorghum). Its description in RNAcentral is "long non-coding RNA (SBIC_LNC007493)". Lineage: Eukaryota; Viridiplantae; Streptophyta; Magnoliopsida; Poales; Poaceae. The record is from RNAcentral.